This 207-nucleotide ribosomal RNA is filed under the name uncultured bacterium. RNAcentral's name for it is "partial 16S ribosomal RNA". It matches the Rfam family "Bacterial small subunit ribosomal RNA", at positions 568 to 774 of the family's 1533-position model. The record is from RNAcentral.
CGCGUAGGCGGCAAGGCAAGUCAGAUGUGAAAUCCCCGGGCUCAACCUGGGAAUUGCAUCUGAAACUGCAGUGCUUGAGUCCUGGAGGGGAUAGUGGAAUUCCCAGUGUAGCGGUGAAAUGCGUAGAUAUUGGGAGGAACACCUGCGGCGAAGGCGGCUAUCUGGACAGUGACCGACGCUGAUGCGCGAAAGCCAGGGGAGCGAACG